UGGGGAAUAUUGCGCAAUGGGGGAAACCCUGACGCAGCGACGCCGCGUGGGUGAUGAAGGCCUUCGGGUCGUAAAGCCCUGUCGUAGGGAAAGAACUGGUUGCAGGCUAAUAUCCUGCAGCCUUGACGGUACCCUACAAGAAAGCACCGGCUAACUCCGUGCCAGCAGCCGCGGUAAUACGGAGGGUGCAAGCGUUGUUCGGAAUUACUGGGCGUAAAGAGCGUGUAGGCGGCUGACCCGAGUCCGGUGUGAAAGCCCGGGGCUUACCCCCGGAAGUGCGCUGGAAACUGGUCGACUAGAGUAUGGGAGAGGGAAGUGGAAUUCCUGGUGUAGCGGUGGAAUGCGUAGAUAUCAGGAAGAACACCUGUGGCGAAGGCGGCUAGCUGGGCCAGAUCUGACACUCAUCCGCGAAAGCGUGGGGAGCAAACAGGAUUAGAUACCCCCGUAGUCCCUGAGCGGGCUGGCAAGGCGCAU
RNAcentral lists this ribosomal RNA (474 nucleotides) under uncultured bacterium. RNAcentral describes it as "bacterial SSU rRNA". It matches the Rfam family "Bacterial small subunit ribosomal RNA", at positions 355 to 825 of the family's 1533-position model. The record is from RNAcentral.